Solenopsis invicta (red fire ant) is the source of this 1437-nucleotide RNA transcript. RefSeq lists it as uncharacterized. The transcript has 7 exons. Lineage: Eukaryota; Metazoa; Arthropoda; Insecta; Hymenoptera; Formicidae. The record is from RefSeq and is a predicted model, not a curated record.
GUUACUUGCCUGGUCAAAACUGCAAAUCGGUGCAAGAUCACCUGUAGCUACUUCGUCCUUAAUUUGUCGCAGUUCCAGGAACUUACUCCUGUCAACUGUACCUGUCUAAGAAAUACUAGAAGCCGAGGUUACAUACAACUUAUUGUUUGAAAUCUUAAUGAAUUAGUUUUUAUUACUUUAACAAAUAUAAAAAAAUUCUUUAGCAACUCUUGUCUAUGCAUUUCUAGAAAGCAUUUGAAAAACAGAAUAAAAAAAAAUUGUAUAUAAAUACUAUUUUUUUAAUAAUGUUACCGCGGUAUGCAAGAAGAUCUAUCUCGAUAAUGACAAAUGAUCCUCCCGUCAAAUAGCUGUUGCUCGUGCAAAUCAUCUGAUCAAAUUGCUGAAGGAGUUAAAGCGGCUAAUCAGAGCCCAGCUUUGACUCUGUUGUAAUAUUGCACGAGACUGGAGAAUUAAACAGUGAAUUGCUACAGAUAGCAGAAUCGCAUUAAUGAUAAUAACGAUAAUAACUCAGGGAAACUCCAAUACAACGACCAAUAAUCUGGACGUGUUAAUGAAGAUAGGAUUACGUCUGCGCAUGAAGAACGAUCUUCUUUUAGCGCGAGAUAUUUGCAGAAAGUUAAAAAUAACACAAACUAGCAAAGACGUCAAAAAACCAUUUCUAAGUUAGCGAAUCAAGGUAAAAGAAAAAAUCAGAAAAGCGCGUACGACUCCAGUUAUUAAAGUUAAAAUUGGCGAACGCAUCAAUCUUGAGAAACUCGAAUGCACGACGCGAGUUCCUCGAGCUAAAAAUACCUCGAUGCUCAGGAUAAUGGUGAAGAAGCCUUAGAGAGUGCGGUGGACGAUGCCGAGGCGAAGUUUGUGAAUGGCGCACUUGAACAUGAAAUCGUUACUGGGAAUGGAUUGCUCGUGAAAUUUGUUCCGCUGGUAUUGGAUGUAUGCCAGUAUCCCGACAAGUAUAACAACGAAAAUGUACUCAGCAAAAUGAUGACGAUGAGCUCUGAAUUUUGCGAACAAACUGUGCAACUUUUGAUCACCAGAUUGGAGCGAUCGCCGAUUCCGGGAUCCGAUCAAAUAUAUGCUGAUUGGAUUAAUUAUCUCAAGAUAAUAUGAACGUGCGUAGAACAUGCGUUCGUAUGUUGUCAAAUCUAGCUGUUAAUGAAAGAAAUGAUACGCGUGAAGAGACAGGUUUCAAUUUACGAAGUCAUUCUUCGUUCAACUUUUUCAAAAAAGCAACAUUUUAUAUAAUAUAGUUUCGGAUAUAUUGUCGCUUUUCGAAAAUCGUCAUUUAUGAGAGGAAAAAGGAAAAGCAGAAGCUGGAUAAAUGGAUCCAGACUUGGAUGGAAGGGGAAAAAAGGGAUCAACAUUUGUCUUUAAUAUUAAAGGUUAAAAGAAUAAAUUAAUUUGUAAGAUCUGAAAUAUAUACAAUUUGAUUUAUAA